Molecule: ribosomal RNA, 590 nt
Filed under: uncultured Actinomycetes bacterium
Lineage: Bacteria; Bacillati; Actinomycetota; Actinomycetes
Description: bacterial SSU rRNA
Rfam family: Bacterial small subunit ribosomal RNA
Source: RNAcentral
GUACUGAGACACGGACCAGACUCCUACGGGAGGCAGCAGUGGGGAAUAUUGCACAAUGGGCGCAAGCCUGAUGCAGCAACGCCGCGUGAGGGACGAAGGCCUUCGGGUUGUAAACCUCUUUUAGCAGGGAAGAAGCGAAAGUGACGGUACCUGCAGAAAAAGCACCGGCUAACUACGUGCCAGCAGCCGCGGUAAUACGUAGGGUGCAAGCGUUGUCCGGAAUUAUUGGGCGUAAAGAGCUCGUAGGCGGUUUGCCACGUCUGCUGUGAAAUUUCGAGGCUCAACCUCGAACUUGCAGUGGGUACGGGCAGGCUAGAGUGCGGUAGGGGAGAUGGGAAUUCCUGGUGUAGCGGUGGAACGCGCAGAUAUCAGGAGGAACACCAAUGGCGAAGGCACAUCUCUGGGCCGUAACUGACGCUGAGGAGCGAAAGCGUGGGGAGCAAACAGGAUUAGAUACCCUGGUAGUCCACGCCGUAAACGGUGGGUGCUAGCUGUGGGCCACAUUCCACGUGGUCCGUGACGAAGUUAACACAUUAAGCACCCCGCCUGGGGAGUACGGCCGCAAGGCUAAAACUCAAAGGAAUUGACGG